CAAGCCUACCAUCACGGUUGCUGUGUUAUCGAGUUACUUUGGAUUUCGGUUACUUGGACAAAUAAAAAAACACGUAUUCCCAUAUAAGUGUAGACCAAAACAGAACAGCAGAUCUUGAUGUUAUUAAGCAAGCAUGGGUAUGCUACGUGAAAACCAGAGCAAAAUUGUCUACCAUAAUGCUGAAUCAUGAAUGUGCCUUUUAGUCACAUAUUCUGCUGAAAAAAUGCAUCUCCGUUGCUCGAAAAUUAUGGAAUCACAUGUAUAGUACAGAUUUAUUCAGACCGUGGAUGAUGAAUGCUUCUGUCAUGCAUAUUUCAGUAUACCUCCUCAGGAGAUGGAGGUUGUUUGGGAGAUUUUGAUGACUCUACCUGACCCUACAAAGUGAGUGUCAUGAUUGUUCUUCAAGGCUGCCCUGCACAAAUUUUACUCCACAAAUUUUAGAUAGGUGUAGACCAAAACAGAACAGCAAGUUUUCAAGGCUGCCAUGCACAAACAAAAGUUCAUUCAUGCCUGUGAAUGAUUGAUGCUUCUGUAUCAUGCAUAUCUCGGUGUGUGUGGAAGUAGUUGUGAUUGUGAAAUUCUAAGUACCAUACCAUGCACUGUCAUUAGAAGCCUUCCCUCAGCAGAUGGAGAGAGGAAAUUGACGACCCAACAUGAGCGAGACUGAGAGAGCGUCGUGAUUGUUCUUCAGAAUUAAACUGCACCAACGCCUAUCAAAAAUUAUGGAAUGAGACUGAACGAGACUUUGCUUCCGGAAGAAAAACUGCGAUGACAGGGGCCAGGCCUACAACACAUUCAACGCGGAUCAUCUAUUUUUGUUCUUGGUAAUAUGUUUGUUUGUUUGUGUUAACCCGUUGGCUGCCACGCCUUUGUUCUCCCUUGUAUUAGCUCCUUAGCACGGGCCCACGCUGUCUGGUCUCAUGGUUUACAUGCCGUGGGGUCGGGCAGUCGUACCAGCCCCAGAUUUCGCCGAAAGGCCCUGUUAGGCAAUGCACCAUAGGGACUUCCCCCUUGUCGAUACGGUGACGGAUUCUAGAGGUUGUGCAUUCCAUCU
Long non-coding RNA from Daphnia pulicaria, 1054 nucleotides. RefSeq lists it as uncharacterized. The record is from RefSeq and is a predicted model, not a curated record. Lineage: Eukaryota; Metazoa; Arthropoda; Branchiopoda; Diplostraca; Daphniidae. The transcript has 7 exons.